GCAACUCGCCUACACGAAGCUGGAAUCGCUAGUAAUCGCGGAUCAGCACGCCGCGGUGAAUCGUUCCCGGGCCUUGUACACACCGCCCGUCACACCAUGAGAGUCUGUAACACCCAAAGCCGGUGGGAUAACCUUUAUAGGAGUCAGCCGUNUAAGGUAGGACAGAUGAUUAGGGUGAAGUCGUAACAAGGUAGC
RNAcentral lists this ribosomal RNA (195 nucleotides) under uncultured bacterium. Its description in RNAcentral is "partial 16S ribosomal RNA". It matches the Rfam family "Bacterial small subunit ribosomal RNA", at positions 1307 to 1500 of the family's 1533-position model. The record is from RNAcentral.